AUUGGGUAGGGGAGCGUUGUAUACGCGGAGAAACAGUAGCGCAAGCGGCUGUGGAGUGUAUAGAAGUGAGAAUGCCGGAAUGAGUAGCGCGAAUGCAGUGAGAAUCUGCAUGGCCGAAAGCCUCAGGUUUCUGGAGGAAGGUUCGUCCGCUCCAGGUUAGUCGGGAGCUAAGGUGAGGCCGAAAGGCGUAGCCGAUGCACAGACGGUAGAGAUUCCGUCACCACCAAAAGAGUUAAGCACAGGGACACAUAUGAAG
RNAcentral lists this ribosomal RNA (256 nucleotides) under Faecalibacterium prausnitzii. RNAcentral describes it as "partial 23S ribosomal RNA". It matches the Rfam family "Bacterial large subunit ribosomal RNA", at positions 1223 to 1481 of the family's 2925-position model. The record is from RNAcentral. Lineage: Bacteria; Bacillati; Bacillota; Clostridia; Eubacteriales; Oscillospiraceae.